Molecule: ribosomal RNA, 475 nt
Filed under: uncultured organism
Description: partial 16S ribosomal RNA
Rfam family: Bacterial small subunit ribosomal RNA
Source: RNAcentral
ACUCCUACGGGAGGCAGCAGUGGGGAAUUUUGGACAAUGGGCGAAAGCCUGAUCCAGCAAUGCCGCGUGCAGGAUGAAGGCCUUCGGGAUGUAAACUGCUUUUGUACGGAACGAAAAAGCUCCUUCUAAUACAGGGGGCCCAUGACGGUACCGUAAGAAUAAGCACCGGCUAACUACGUGCCAGCAGCCGCGGUAAUACGUAGGGUGCGAGCGUUAAUCGGAAUUACUGGGCGUAAAGCGUGCGCAGGCGGUUAUGUAAGACAGAUGUGAAAUCCCCGGGCUCAACCUGGGAACUGCAUUUGUGACUGCAUGGCUAGAGUACGGUAGAGGGGGAUGGAAUUCCGCGUGUAGCAGUGAAAUGCGUAGAUAUGCGGAGGAACACCGAUGGCGAAGGCAAUCCCCUGGACCUGUACUGACGCUCAUGCACGAAAGCGUGGGGAGCAAACAGGAUUAGAAACCCUAGUAGUCCCAUGAU